CCAAAGUAUACAAAUAUUACACACCAAUUGAUUUAAUAGUUAGAGAAUGAUAAAGGAAAAAGAGAGGAAGAAGAAAUUGUGGAUUCAAAUUCUCUCAAUUAACUAACAAAUUAACAUUAUUUGUAAAUUAGUUGAAAAAAAAAAUCAACAUCACCACACCCAAAUAUGUUCCCAAAACUAACCUUUCUGUUUUGCACAUUUGGUAGCCCCUUGUGCAGAACCUCUUUUUCCUUUUCUUGCAAAAUUUUGCAAACUGAAGCUUCAUUUGAUGAUAGAACUGCAAAUACUUUUGACGUGACGUACAACAGUGACCCGUGCUAGUGUAUCAAAUAAUCCCAGCAUAAAUCCCAGAUCAAGGGCAUAUGUACAAGCUUUUAGAGGCUAUGGAAUGAAACUUCAAUCUUUAUAUAUACACUUUGUUUUAUUACUCUUUUCAAAACCAAACAAAAAACUAAAACAAAAACAAAUCAAAAAGGGUUUUGGUAUAGAUGGAUUUCUUAUCUAGUUCGAACAGAUGGCAUCUAAGAUCAUGGUUAUAUUUUAUUAGUGCUGAUCAAGCAUUCCAUGAAAUAUUCAUAAUAUUAAUGUUUUUGGUAUACGGCUGAUCCUACAAGUAACAAAAUCAUUUCCAGAAUAUUUAAUACAGUCUUAUUGUCAAGAUUCAAACUCAAGAUCACUUGUUAAAUCAAAAACAAUUUCAUAGGAGUUGAUAUAUCCAUUUGAUAGUCAUAAAAUACUCAUAUAUAAAGAAAAAGUAUAUAGAUAUAUGGUUAAGACAUUUAUUUUCCUUAUAUAGCUAGAUUCAAACUAAACCGUUAACAGAAACAAAAAAUUAGCAUGAAGAGUGAAGAUCUCUAAAAACAUACAAAUUGAAAAUUCUAAAACUGGAAUCAAUGGACUGUGAAUUGUAUGAUACACUAGAACGGAUCACGGUUGCACAUCACAUGAACUUGAAAAGAAGAGAGGUAGACAAAAGGAGACCCAGAAGCCAAUAACAGAGAAAUUGUGUGUGCAAAAAAAGUAAGGUUAGGUUGAAGAAAAUUUAAGAGAGAAAGAAAGAAGGGUAGGUUGUGAAUGUGUGAAUUGGUGGUGCCAUGAAUGGUUUUUGGGUUGGGAAGAAGCUUAUUAUAACAACAACU
Molecule: long non-coding RNA, 1139 nt
Filed under: Glycine max (soybean)
Lineage: Eukaryota; Viridiplantae; Streptophyta; Magnoliopsida; Fabales; Fabaceae
Description: long non-coding RNA (GMAX_LNC000604)
Source: RNAcentral